CCUGACUGCUAUCGGAUUGGUACUAAGCCAUGCGAGUCAUUGUAGCAAUACAAGGCAUACGGCUCAGUAACGCGUAGUCAACCUAACCUAUGGACGGGAAUAACCUCGGGAAACUGAGAAUAAUGCCCGAUAGAACACUAUACCUGGAAUGGUUUGUGUUCCAAAUGAUUUAUCGCCAUAGGAUGGGACUGCGGCCUAUCAGUUUGUUGGUGAGGUAAUGGCCCACCAAGACUAUUACAGGUACGGGCUCUGGGAGGAGUAGCCCGGAGAUGGGUACUGAGACACGGACCCAGGCCCUAUGGGGCGCAGCAGGCGAGAAAACUUUGCAAUGUGCGAAAGCACGACAAGGUUAAUCCGAGUGAUUUGUGCUAAACGAAUCUUUUGUUAGUCCUAGAAACACUAACGAAUAAGGGGUGGGCAAGUUCUGGUGUCAGCCGCCGCGGUAAAACCAGCACCUCAAGUGGUCAGGAUGAUUAUUGGGCCUAAAGCAUCCGUAGCCGGCUCUGUAAGUUUUCGGUUAAAUCUGUACGCUUAACGUACAGGCCGCCGGGAAUACUGCAGAGCUAGGGAGUGGGAGAGGUAGACGGUACUCGGUAGGAAGUGGUAAAAUGCUUUGAUCUAUCGAUGACCACCUGUGGCGAAGGCGGUCUACCAGAACACGUCCGACGGUGAGGGAUGAAAGCUGGGGGAGCAAACCGGAUUAGAUACCCGGGUAGUCCCAGCUGUAAACUAUGCAAACUCAGUGAUGCAUUGGCUUGUGGCCAAUGCAGUGCUGCAGGGAAGCCGUUAAGUUUGCCGCCUGGGAAGUACGUACGCAAGUAUGAAACUUAAAGGAAUUGGCGGGGGAGCACCACAAGGGGUGAAGCCUGCGGUUC
This 875-nucleotide ribosomal RNA is filed under the name uncultured marine group I thaumarchaeote. RNAcentral describes it as "bacterial SSU rRNA". It matches the Rfam family "Archaeal small subunit ribosomal RNA", at positions 21 to 903 of the family's 1478-position model. Lineage: Archaea; Thermoproteati; Nitrososphaerota. The record is from RNAcentral.